GGGUUGUGAGGUUAAGCGACUAAGCGUACACGGUGGAUGCCCUGGCAGUCAGAGGCGAUGAAGGACGUGCUAAUCUGCGAUAAGCGCCGGUAAGGUGAUAUGAACCGUUAUAACCGGCGAUUUCCGAAUGGGGAAACCCAGUGUGACUCGUCACACUAUCAUUAACUGAAUCCAUAGGUUAAUGAGGCGAACCGGGGGAACUGAAACAUCUAAGUACCCCGAGGAAAAGAAAUCAACCGAGAUUCCCCCAGUAGCGGCGAGCGAACGGGGAGGAGCCCAGAGCCUGAAUCAGCAUGUGUGUUAGUGGAAGCGUCUGGAAAGGCGCGCGAUACAGGGUGACAGCCCCGUACACAAAAGCGCAUGUGCUGUGAGCUCGAUGAGUAGGGCGGGACACGUGGUAUCCUGUCUGAAUAUGGGGGGACCAUCCUCCAAGGCUAAAUACUCCUGACUGACCGAUAGUGAACCAGUACCGUGAGGGAAAGGCGAAAAGAACCCCGGCGAGGGGAGUGAAAAAGAACCUGAAACCGUGUACGUACAAGCAGUGGGAGCACCCUUUGGGGUGUGACUGCGUACCUUUUGUAUAAUGGGUCAGCGACUUAUAUUCUGUAGCAAGGUUAACCGUAUAGGGGAGCCGGAGGGAAACCGAGUCUUAAUUGGGCGUUAAGUUGCAGGGUAUAGACCCGAAACCCGGUGAUCUAGCCAUGGGCAGGUUGAAGGUUGGGUAACACUAACUGGAGGACCGAACCGACUAAUGUUGAAAAAUUAGCGGAUGACCUGUGGCUGGGGGUGAAAGGCCAAUCAAACCGGGAGAUAGCUGGUUCUCCCCGAAAGCUAUUUAGGUAGCGCCUCGUGAAUUCAUCUCCGGGGGUAGAGCACUGUUUCGGCUAGGGGGCCAUCCCGGCUUACCAACCCGAUGCAAACUGCGAAUACCGGAGAAUGUUAUCACGGGAGACACACGGCGGGUGCUAACGUCCGUCGUGAAGAGGGAAACAACCCAGACCGCCAGCUAAGGUCCCAAAGUCAUGGUUAAGUGGGAAACGAUGUGGGAAGGCCCAGACAGCCAGGAUGUUGGCUUAGAAGCAGCCAUCAUUUAAAGAAAGCGUAAUAGCUCACUGGUCGAGUCGGCCUGCGCGGAAGAUGUAACGGGGCUAAACCAU
RNAcentral lists this ribosomal RNA (1157 nucleotides) under Salmonella enterica subsp. enterica serovar Oranienburg. Its description in RNAcentral is "partial 23S ribosomal RNA". It matches the Rfam family "Bacterial large subunit ribosomal RNA", at positions 1 to 1190 of the family's 2925-position model. The record is from RNAcentral. Lineage: Bacteria; Pseudomonadati; Pseudomonadota; Gammaproteobacteria; Enterobacterales; Enterobacteriaceae.